This 3415-nucleotide ribosomal RNA is filed under the name Laccaria amethystina. RNAcentral describes it as "large subunit ribosomal RNA". It matches the Rfam family "Bacterial large subunit ribosomal RNA". Lineage: Eukaryota; Fungi; Basidiomycota; Agaricomycetes; Agaricales; Hydnangiaceae. The record is from RNAcentral.
AAGUAUCGAUGAUAAUCAUAUAGUAACAUCAAAAAAGAAUAAAAAAAGUAAUUCAAAGGGGUUAUUAAGGAAAACUAAGGCAAAUUUAUACAAAAGGAGGUCACAACCAAAAGCUUACCCAAUAAUCAUUCAGUAUUAAAAAUAAUAAAUGAAACUGUUUAUUGGUAUUCAGAACAGUAAGCGAUCCUAAGGUAAAUCUUUUAAAAAUAACUUCCUGAAGUAAAACAUUUUAUUAAGGAAAGGAAAGGAAAUCAACCGAGACUCCGAAAGUAAUGGUGAGUGAAAUCGGACUAGCCUAUUUUGUUUUAUGAAUUGAAGGGAUUUUUAUUAAAAAUCCAGGAAUAUUAACUAUUAUAUUCUCUUAUUUUUUAAUAAAAAAUAUUAGAAAAAUAAUAAUAAUAUUUCACCAUAGAAGGUAAAUCGAGUCCUGUAGAAAUAUAAAACAAAAAUUAAAAUUUAGAAAUUUAAAUAAUAAUUAAGUAAAUAAUUAUUUUAUUAUUAUAUAAUAAAUUUAAAAAUUACAUUUAAAUAUUAAUUAAAACUAAAACUCAUUUAUAAAAAAAAGUCUUUUUUAUUUUAUAUAGAAUAAAAAAAUUAUAAAUAAGUAUUCUAGAUUGGAGUACGAUGAGAGAUAACUUGUCGGAAUAAAGGGGAACCAUCCUCUAAGGCUAAGUAUUAUAAAUUUAGCGAUAGUGAAUAAGUACUGUAAAGGAAAAGUUUGAAAAGCAUGUAGUAUACAAAUAUUUGAUUAUUAAAAUAAAAUUUAUUUUAAUAAUUAAUGCGGUGAAAUAGACCAUGAAUUAGUAACUCUAUAAGCAGUCGAAAUUCUAUUAUGAAUAUAAAAUAUUUAAGAAUAACGGCGUACCUUUUGCAUAAUGGGUCAGCAAGUUAAUAGGAGUAGCAAGGUUAAAAGCCCUAGCGAAAGCGACUGGACUAUAAAUUAUUGUUUUUAUUUAAUAUAAAAAUAUAAUAAUAAUUAUAAUAAUAUACAUAGUGAUGGAUAAGUUACUUCUAUUAGACCCGAAGCCAGGUGAUCUUACCAAGACCAGAUUAUAAUGGAUCGAACGGUUGAAUGUUGCAUUAUUCUCCGAUGAGUUUUGGUAAGCGGUGAAAUGCCAAUCUGACCUGGUGCUAGCUGGUUUUCUACCGAAACAUAUUUAAGUAUGAUGUCUACAAUAAUAUAAAAACAUAAAUUUAUGGAGGUACAGCAAGGCAAUUCCCAACAAAUUUAAGGUAAAACAAUAAAUUUUCUUGUUUUUUGUUUUAUAUUUUUAUAAUAAUAAAAAUUCUAUUUAUAAGAUAAAAUAAUUAAUUAAAUUAACUUUAAGUAGCCUUAUCUGCGUUCAGGUUGCGGGGAUCUAGACAAUCUUACCUUUGGAAGCGAAUCUCGGAAUUACAUAAAUUGAUGGUAGAUAUUCAGACUGCUCAUGCUAAGUUGGGCAGUCAAGACGGAAACAGCCGAGAACACUGAUCAAGGUCCCAAAUGAUUGUUAAGUGAAAUUAAGGACGUAGCAAUAUCGAAUACAGCUGUGAAGUGAGCCUGGCAGUCGCUACUUAUAAUGAUCGUAUGUAACAACGCAUCAGCAGUCUAGAUAGUAGCGCCGAAAAUUUAACGGGUCUUAAACAAUCAACCGAUAUCGUGUUGGUUAAUAAUAAUAAAUUUGUUAUUAAUCUAGGUAGUAGAACAUUCAGUAAAACUUUAAAUCAAAUAGUGUUUCAUUAUUUUGUAGGAUACUGAAGAGAGAAUGCUGACAUGAGUAACGUAAAAAGAAGUUAUAAUACUUCUCGCCGAAUACGAAAGGGUUGCAAAUAGGAAAGGUUAAUCCGUUUUGUUUUAAUGCGGCCUCUAAGGGAUGUAGCUAAAGCUACUACUGAUGAGUCUAUAAUAGAAAGUCUAAUAUUUAAAAAAUAGACCAGGAAAUUAAUAUUAUAUUACUACCGUACCCUAAACCGACACAGGUUCGUAGGUAGAGAAUACUAAGGCGUAGAGCUAAAAGUUGUUAAGGAACUCGGCAAGAUCACCUCCUAAGUUUGACGACAAGAGGGACCGUUAUAAGCUAGUUUAUUUAUAUUCUUAUUUUUUUAUUAAUUUAAAUUAAUAUUGCUAAUACAUAAAAAAAUCACUUAUAACGGUGACACAAAAUCGGAGGCCACGACUGUUUACUAAAAACACAACACAGUGCAAUCAUUAAUAUGAUAGUAUACUGUGUGAAAUUUGCCCGAUGCCAUUAAUAUAAGAGCGAUCAUGGUUUUCUGUGAUUAAUCGAAAAUCUGGUUAAUAGCGGUCUUAACUAUGAGGAUCCUAAGGUAGCAAAAUAAAUUGGCCUUUAAAUGAGGUCCGGUAUCAAUAAUGUAACGAUGGUCUCACUGUCUCUACAACUUGCUCAGUGAAAUUGAAUUACGCGUGCAGAUGCGCGUUGCCUUCAGGGGGACGGGAAGACCCUAUGCAGCUUUACUGUAGUUAGUUAUCAUAUGAAUCUAGAACAAUCAAAAUUAAUAGUGAAUAGGGAAGUCGAUAGACAAAUAGUGGAAACCUUAAAAUUCUGAUUGGGUUUAUGUUUACCUUAAAUUUAAUAAAAAAAGGGAGAGUUUACUAAUUGGCAGUUUGACUGGGGCGGUCGUCUUUAAUAGAGUAGCAAAGUACAUCCAAAUAUUUCAUUUAAAACUAAAAAUUUAUUGUUUUAUAAAUUUUAUCACAAAAAACUUUAUUUUAUUUUAGUAUAAUUUAAAGUAAUAAUUAAUUUAAUUAAUUAACAUUCUAAAUUUUUCUUUCUAAUCAUUAAUUUUAUAAGGUAUAGCUAGAAAUUGAAUGGAGAUCAAUCAACCAGUGAUGGGUUGCGCAGAGUUCAAUGGCGAUAAGCAUGCUUAACUGAAAGACUUAAAAGUCGCACAGAUACGUAAGUAGGGCAUAGUGACCCCUCGCUAUAAUAUGGGAUAGACGGGGAUCAAUUAAUAAAAGUUACGCUAGGGAUAACAGGCUGAUCGCGGACGAGAGUACACAUUGUCUCCGCGGUUUGGCACCUCGAUGUCGACUCAUCCUAUCCUCCGGGGGUAGAAGCUUGGAAGGGUUCGGCUGUUCGCCGAUUAAAAGGGUACGUGAGUUGGGUUUAAUACGACGUGAGUCAGUAUGGUCCCUAUCUUCUGGAGGAAUAAUAGUAAAAAGGGGCAGACCUUCUAGUACGAAAGGAUCAAUAGGCUGUGUUUCUCUAGUGUACCAAUUGUUUGUAAUUUUUUUUAUUAAAAAAAUAUGAAUGCAUAGUUGGGUAGCCACAAACAUAAUAGAUAAGUGCUGAAUGUCUAUAAAGCAAGAAUCUAACCCCUAGAUACUAAUAUGGCUAAUAUUAUUAAUUAUUGUUAUGUUAGGGCGGCUUAUUAUUAAUAAAUAAGCAGCUCCAACAAAAUAAGUAACAUUUAA